This 360-nucleotide ribosomal RNA is filed under the name Triticum aestivum (bread wheat). RNAcentral describes it as "partial small subunit ribosomal RNA". Lineage: Eukaryota; Viridiplantae; Streptophyta; Magnoliopsida; Poales; Poaceae. The record is from RNAcentral.
AUGGAGGACGAGGAGAUGGAGAGGAAGGUGCAGCAGUACCUGCACCGCAAGGGAUUCCGCCUCGCCGAGCUUGCGCUGCAGGAGGAGCGCAACCGCCACUCCACAACCUCCCUCUCCGACGUCUCGCUCUCCAGGUCAGAUAAUGAUCCAGCAAGAUACCAUGAUGGCUAUAAUAAAUUAAGAACAUGGGCAUACAGUUCUCUGGAUCAAUACAAGGUGUGUUUCAUUAGCUGGGGAUUGUGCUUCACGUUUACAGCUCUAGUACAUUUGAAUGCACUUCGCUUUGCAGCAUUCACAGAUAUUUUGAGGCAUGAAGCUGCUAUAUCCACACUGUUCAUUAAUCUAGCAUGCUGCUCAUGA